Molecule: ribosomal RNA, 417 nt
Filed under: uncultured bacterium
Lineage: Bacteria
Description: bacterial SSU rRNA
Rfam family: Bacterial small subunit ribosomal RNA
Source: RNAcentral
UGGGGAAUAUUGGGCAAUGGGCGCAAGCCUGACCCAGCAACGCCGCGUGAAGGAAGAAGGCUUUCGGGUUGUAAACUUCUUUUCUUGGGGACGAAGAAAGUGACGGUACCCAAGGAAUAAGCCACGGCUAACUACGUGCCAGCAGCCGCGGUAAUACGUAGGUGGCAAGCGUUAUCCGGAUUUAUUGGGUGUAAGGGGCGUGUAGGCGGGAAUGCAAGUCAGAUGUGAAACUAUGGGCUCAGCCCAUAGCCUGCAUUUGAAACUGUAUUUCUUGAGUGCUGGAGAGGCAAUCGGAAUUCCGUGUGUAGCGGUGAAAUGCGUAGAUAUACGGAGGAACACCAGUGGCGAAGGCGGAUUGCUGGACAGUAACUGACGCUGAGGCGCGAAAGCGUGGGGAGCAAACAGGAUUAGAUACCC